Molecule: long non-coding RNA, 804 nt
Filed under: Ananas comosus (pineapple)
Lineage: Eukaryota; Viridiplantae; Streptophyta; Magnoliopsida; Poales; Bromeliaceae
Description: long non-coding RNA (ACOM_LNC018265)
Source: RNAcentral
AUAUAUAUAUCGAGAGAGUUAAUAGUAUCAAACACUUCGCGCUACUUCAGCCAACUACUCACUCAACUCUAGAGGACCAUUAUCAUCCUAAUCGCACAUGGCUUCAUCUAAGGGCCAAAACUUAAUAUAUAGCACCAACAACUUGAUAUUAUUAAUAGUAUUCUAGUUUAGCUCUCUCUCUCUCUCUCUUGGUACUUUUAAUUUUUUUGACUUUUGGAUAAACUUAUUUGAUCAUUUCUAACCGUUCGAUUAAUUUUGUUAUCCUGAAGGGACCACUAACUCCUGGGAUACUACUCAACUCUAAGGGACCACUCUCAUCCUAACCGUACAGUUCUUGAUCCAAUGGCUAAAAAGUAAAAAAUACUAACUCUUUUAUACUUCUGAAAAUGUAAUAGCUCUACACUACAUGAGUCUGUCUACUAUGCUAUCAAUAGUACCAAACGCUUAGUGCUAUUAAGUUUUUUGUCGUUAGAUUUAUCUUUUUGACCAUUUUCAUUCGUUAAAUCAUAUAUACUAUGCAACCAACACCUUACGCGACCCUAGGAGACUACUAGAUCACUAUUAUCCUAACCGAAGAUUACUUUAUUCAAGGGCCGAAAUCCUAAUAGCACUAAAUCAUUAGUGCUAUUAAUAGUAUAGUAUAGUAGUCUAAUAGUCUAGUUAGAUUAAUAACACUAAGUUAUUGACGCUAUUAAAUUUUUGGCCUUAAAUGAACAGAUAUGCGGUUAGAAUAAUAAUAAUUUUUUAGAAUUGAGUGAACUGUAAUUGAAUAGUAUGAUGAAAAUGAUCAACUAAUUAAUAUAC